This is a long non-coding RNA of Benincasa hispida (wax gourd), 1240 nucleotides long. RefSeq lists it as uncharacterized. NCBI's taxonomy places the organism in Eukaryota, Viridiplantae, Streptophyta, Magnoliopsida, Cucurbitales, Cucurbitaceae. The record is from RefSeq and is a predicted model, not a curated record.
UCCCUUUAUCUCUUUUUCACUCUUUAUUUUCUCUCUUCUCUCUCAUUUUCCUCUCUAUAUUUCUUCGAAGAACAACAAAGCAAGAAGAAGAAGAAGAAGAAGAAGGCAAAAGAAGCAAUUUUGUUUGAGGGGAAUGUUGUCUGGCUCGAGGUCACUUCGAUCCAUAAGUUUUUUUCUCUCUCUCAAAAUCCCAUCUUUUAUUUGGUUUUAAUUUCAAAGCGAUUACGACAAAUCGACUCAUUAGAAACGAAGUGUCGUCGGACCAGGCUUCAUUCCCCCCACAAAUUUUGCUUCAAUUAUUACACCAAAAAAAAAAAAAAAACCCCAAAUCGAUUUUCUUUCAUGGGGUUGUUGAUUUUGGUCUCCUCUUCUCGAUCUACAGGUAAAGUUUAAAUCUUUUUGUGUUUUUUUUUUUGGUCAAAUUUAAGGAAAAUUAUUUGAACCUCGGAUUCAGUUUUUUGAGAUGGGGUUUUUGAAAAAAAUAAUGAAAAAAAAACAAAACAAAACAAAAGAUUUAGAUUUAGAUUCUGUUUGAGGCAGGAACAGAUUGGGGUAAUGAUGGUGUUAUUUUGACUGUCUUUUUUUAGAUCUCUUUUCUGACCAAAGAGUGAAAAUAUCAUCAUUACAUUUUGGUUGUGUUUUUGUUGUUGUUUCUUUUUUUUUUUUUUUUUUUUUUUUUUUUUUUUUUAAAUUUCUCUUUCAUGAAUCAAGAUUGUGUGAAUGAGAGAGAAAGAUCUAAACUUUCUCUUCUAAACUCUGAUUUUCUUUCUUUCUUUCUUUUACAAUCAUGGCAUUUUCAAUCUUCUUUGUCUCUUUCUUCAUUUCUUUCAUUAGGGUUUAUAUUCAAUCUACCAAAUUUCAACACAUUUAUUAUUAAAAAAUUUCAAACCUUUUUUUCUUAGAUCUAUAUAUUAUGCCUUUGUUUUAUGUUGAAAUAUUUUUUUUCCUAACUUGUUUUAUGGUUUUGUGGAGUUACUGUUUGUUUUUAAGCCUUUACAUCUGAGAAUUGCAGCCUUCAAACUGAAGUUCAUUCCUGUUCAUUGAAAGGGAUAAUAUUUUUUUCUUUUCUCGAAGAUCUUCUCAAAGUUGAGCAAGAUUCUGGUCUUGUUUAUUUUUUAUGGUUAUGCCAUUUGAAUAAAAGAAUAUGUGUUGAAAACCACUUGUAAAAAAUGAUAUGUUAGGCUUUGUGUGGAGACAAAACUCCACCACCAAGAAUAUAUAUGUUUUUGCAUUGGUAAAA